RNAcentral lists this long non-coding RNA (623 nucleotides) under Eptatretus burgeri (inshore hagfish). RNAcentral's name for it is "lncRNA (ENSEBUG00000017376.1)". The record is from RNAcentral. Lineage: Eukaryota; Metazoa; Chordata; Myxini; Myxiniformes; Myxinidae.
GAGCUUAUAGGGUGGGUGAUCCUUUGGGAAUUCUCACUGUUUCUCCGUUCACGAGUCGUUCUUAUACCGGGCCGUGAUGUACGAAGUUAGUGUGAAGAACUGAAGCUGUGCUUCAGCGGAGAAAGCCCGGUCCUGUGGGAGUCGCUGGACAUUGAAUGGCCCAAUGCGACAGAAUGCGUGGCUGCUGGGAAUCUCGUGUGUGACAUGAAGUGAGGCGGUGUAUCCGUGGCAGUGUGGCGACUACCCACUUGCAUGAAGGCACACCGGGCUGGUAGGUCAACAAGAGCUCUGCGUUGUUGCUGCUGUUGUUCUUGGAGUUCUUGUUGGGGGUCGACUUUUGAAAUGUGCAUCCAUUGGUCGGACAGCUACCGGAUCAUUCCUACAUUGGUCGCUUGACUCCACCCACUAUGCGUGUUUUACAGGUAAUGCUGCGGGUGAAGACGGAAAGUGCUUGUGGCUGAAAAAGGGAAAGAUGGCAGAAGGAUGGAUCCGGCAGAGUUUAAUCUCCGAUGUCAGCAGAAAACAGAAGUCAGACCGCUGUCCUUGAAGGAAAACAGAGCCCAUGCGAUGUCUCCCAGAUUCCCCAAGACAGUGCAGCAGUUUCAUGCUUUCUCCCACUUCCC